AGCAGCCGCGGUAAUUCCAGCUCCAAUAGCGUAUAUUAAAGUUGUUGCAGUUAAAAAAGCUCGUAGUUGAAUUUCGGGGUCAGUAGGUUGGUCAUGCCACUGGUAUGUACUGGCCUCACUGAUUCCUCCUUCCUGAUGAGCCGUAAUGCCAUUAAUUUGGUAGUUGCGAGGAAUCUGGACUGUUACUUUGAAAAAAUUAGAGUGUUUAAAGCAGGCUAACGCUUGAAUACAUUAGCAUGGAAUAAUGAAAUAGGACGUUCGAUCUUAUUUUGUUGGUUUCUAAGAUUGACGUAAUGAUUAAUAGGGAUAGUUGGGGGCAUUAGUAUU
Molecule: ribosomal RNA, 327 nt
Filed under: uncultured Glomus
Lineage: Eukaryota; Fungi; Glomeromycota; Glomeromycetes; Glomerales; Glomeraceae
Description: SSU rRNA
Rfam family: Eukaryotic small subunit ribosomal RNA
Source: RNAcentral